The submitters of this non-coding RNA (81 nucleotides) gave its source as unclassified sequences. The record is from Rfam.
AGGCUGAAAUGCAUGGUGGGAAAUCAGUGUGAAAUUCAUUGGCUGUUCCUGCAACCGUAAAGUCGGAGCGCCACCCAGCUU